This 214-nucleotide unclassified non-coding RNA is filed under the name Hevea brasiliensis (rubber tree). The record is from RNAcentral. Lineage: Eukaryota; Viridiplantae; Streptophyta; Magnoliopsida; Malpighiales; Euphorbiaceae.
GGAAAAGCUUUCCCUUGGGGUAUUUUCAUUUUGAAAAGAAGAUGCACGGUUCUCGUACUGAUCAACCCUAGAAAUUCUGCCCUGAGCACGGUUGAAUGAGUCAGAAGAUGAGAGUCUGGAAGUAAGACCUACUAAUAGAGGAAGCCCACUCUCUUUAUCUGUCUGCUCAUUUGCCUUAUAAAGUGCAUUUCCAGCUUUGACUUUUGGAACUCGG